This is a long non-coding RNA of Cyprinus carpio carpio, 3373 nucleotides long. NCBI's taxonomy places the organism in Eukaryota, Metazoa, Chordata, Actinopteri, Cypriniformes, Cyprinidae. The record is from Ensembl.
GCAGAACUGCACAAGAGAUUCAGAUCACUUACUGUAUCAGUUGGAUCAUGCAAAAGGUAGAGAUGAGCUGUUAGACACCAACACUCAUAAAAGGGGAAGCCCCCUAGCAAAAACAAGACUCAUCAUCUGACAUACAUGACAGAAAUGGAAGUUUUCGGCUCAAAAACACCCACCCAUGAGAGGCCCAGGUCAAAAUUAGCACUCAUUUCUGAUAGACUGGAAGUGAACCUUUUUACAGGGGUGUAAAUGUGUUUUCUGUCUUAAUCUGUCUACUUCACUCAUGCAAGACAAGUGUCAGUAUUAUUAUAUUAGUCAUGCUUAAGUUUGCUGGUUUGAGCAAAUCCUAAUUAAUCAAAUUUGGCAAUAAAACAGCCCAAAAAAUACAACAGACUUGCGCCAAAGGGAGGGAAAUGUAGUGCCAUACAGUGUAACCAUGCACUAAAAGUAUCUAAGAACUCCUUAGCAACUGCAUGGCAACGGCCUGGCAUCAUGACUGAGUUUUGCUCUGGCGAACGUUAAAGAAAUUGCUCUUUACUAUUAUGUGUUACUAUUGCAGCACAUUAAUUAUGUGAGUUUUGCGUAAAACUGUCUAUGUGUAUUGCAACGGCGUGACUGAUGUAAAUGGUUUAUGUACUUCGGAACCAUAACUUUAUGAUCGCAAAGUAAAUCCGCUAUGAUAGAAUGUUUAGGAGAUGUUACUUUUUCAUCCAAGCUGCCUUUUUUGGUCACCAAGAUUUCUCAGAGCUUUUCUCAAGGCUUCCAUCUUUAGGCUUGUUGGUUAAUCACAGACCACACAUGCUGGAGAACGCUGAAAUUACACCAAAAACAAGGGUAGAGUGUCUUGUGUAAGCAGUUUUUCCUUGAGCUCCUGACAGUGACAGCUCCUGCUCACCAUCCAGUUUCACAGUAUGGAGAACCUCUGAGAUUCUGCUAAACGUCUGUUUUUGUGUCCUGCAGAAGAAAUAGUCAUACAGCUUGAGGGACGUUCCUGAGAUGACAGACAUGCACACCUACAGGAGUUCAGGGGUGAAGCCCCCCCAUGGCGACGGAAACGGCCCGAGGAAAGGCCUCAUGCUGAAGGGAGAGGGGCCCGGCAGCUCCCUCAAACAAUGGAAGUUCUUGGAAGAUUUUAGGAAGGUCCUGUGAUUUACUAUUCAUCCUUUUCUUGAAUGCCACUUCACUCCCUGUUCACUCUGAAACAUGGAGCAGUUUCUCAAAAAGUGUGUUUCUUUGCGUGCACGUGAGACUGAUACCCGUGUGACCCAACCGGUUGAGCGGCUUUUUGGCGCCCUCAGAAAAUAAAAAGAAAUAUAUUGUGCAAAGCAGCUAACGUGUCAACACAAGCUUUUAUCAUUCCUUUGUCUGUUUAAAAGCUUUUAUGUGGAAUAAUCUUUCCGACACAAUUUGACAUACUUGAAAUAAUCCACAUAAAUUCCAUUAUUGUUUAAAGACACCCUUGCUUCUACGCUUAAUUACCCCGGCGCUUCUCUCACUGUGACUGAACUCUCAUUAUGCUCUGAGGGCAUGAAGAAAAGGAGGUUUAACAUCCACAAAAGAAAGAACCUUCUUAUACCCUGGAAAAUGGAUACACUGUGACCUUUAACCUUUGGGGGAUUAGGCUUCAUUAGGGGGUGACCCUAAAACCUCUGUUCACCCGUAUGCUCAUCUCUCUGGGAUUAGAAAUCUUCAACCAAUAGGUCCAUGGCAUUUAAAGGCAGGUUAUCAACGUGUAGUGUGUGUUGCUAGUUUGAUUGUAAAGAAAGUCACAAAUAAAUUUUACUUCACCAUAAACAUUACCAUCUCUUGUUAAGGGAGAAGUGAUCAGUCAGCAGAGCAGGCGUAUGAGUGUUUACUUAAUACUUUGUUCUUGCAUCUGUUGAUUAAAUUGUUACUUGCUGCUAAGAAGGUUUUUUUUUAUUCUCUGGCUAUUUCUACUGCUAUUUUUUAUUGUAAUUUGUAUUUUUGAUUGCACUUUAUUUGUAAUUAGAGUAAUAGCUGUCGGCUAAGAAACAGCUUUUGUUAUUUAUAUUGCUCUGUUUCUGCACUUAAGUGCAAACUUUAGUUUCGAAUUGAGCGAUUUGGGUGUGCUAAUUUAACAAGGCGGCCAAAGCUGUUUUCUCUGAAGUGUCGGGUGGCUGUGUAUUUGGUUGUUGUCUGUCAGCUGAGGUGGAAGCUGGAUGGUCUGCUGUCCUCAUUCCUGGAGGAUAGCAGUCCAAUUAGUCUUUGGCAACUUUAACAUUCAUACACUCGGCAUGGAUGAAAGAACAUUACCUACACCUCAACCUGGCAAAGACUGAGCUUCUUGUCUUCCUGGACACUCCAAAUCUACAGCAUGACUUCACCGUCCAGUUAUGUUCAUCAACAAUUACCCCAUCAAGUUCGGUCAGAAAUCUUGGUGUAAUCUUUGAUGAUGACCAGCUGACUUUCAAAGACCACAUUUAAAAAACUGCUAGAUCUUAAGGGUUUGCAUUGCACAACAUCCAAAAUAUCAGGCCCUUCCUAACGGAGCAUGCUGCACAACUUCUUGUCCAGGCCCUUGUCAUUUCUAGGCUGGACUACUCCAGUGCUCUUCUGGCUGGACUUCCAUCAUGCACAGUCAAACCUUUACAAAUGAUUUAGAAUGUAGCGACAUGACUGGUCUUCAAGGAGCCCAAAAGAGCCCAUGUUACACCUCUCUUUAUCUCCUUGCACUGGCUGCCGGUUAUGGCUCGCAUCAUGUUCAAGACACUGAUGCUUGCAUAUAGAACAGCCACAGGCUCAGCACCCGCCUACUUCCACUCACUACUACGUAUCUACAUCUCCUCCAGAAGUCUGAGAUCCGCAAGUGAGCGACGCCUUGUAGUACCAUCACAAAGAGGCAGAACAUCACUUUCCAAAACAUUUGCGUUUAUCGUUCCUGGCUGGUGGAAUGAUCUUCCAAACCCUAUCCGAAAUGCUGAUUCCCUGACAUUUUUCAAGCGACACCUGAAAGCUCACCUCUUUCAUCACUAUCUGACUUCAUCCUAAAAAAAAUAUAUAUUUUUCUCUUUUCUUUCAUUUUCUUUCUUUGUCUAGUUUGUACUUAUUUGAACAAUGCUUGAAACUUGGUAUGACGAGCACGUCCUGUGUCUAUUUGCCUCUUUAAGAUGAAUCGCUUGAUAUAUUUCCCAACUGUAAGUCGCUUUGGAUAAAAGCGUCUGCUAGAUGAAUAAAUGUAAAUGUAAAGCUGUUUUAAUACCUUAAUGAUUAACUAGUCUAGAUAUUCAGGCUAGUUAGUUCUGUAUAUCAUUCCGUACCAAAUUUUAAAGAAAUACAGGAGUAAAUGUCAGAAUAUAUUUUUUUUUAUUUGAUCAAUAAUCCCAAAACAAAGCAAAGAGGGACAUGGAUCUGAAAC